UACGGAGGGGGCUAGCGUUGUUCGGAAUUAUUGGGCGUAAAGCGCGUGUAGGCGGCUAUGUGUGUCCGAUGUGAAAGCCCUCGGCUCAACCGGGGAACUGCAUGGGAAACUGCGGAGCUUGAGUCCGGGAGAGGUGAGUGGAAUUCCCAGUGUAGCGGUGAAAUGCGUAGAUAUUGGGAGGAACACCAGUGGCGAAGGCGGCUCACUGGACCGGUACUGACGCUGAGACGCGAAAGCCAGGGGAGCAAACGGG
RNAcentral lists this ribosomal RNA (253 nucleotides) under uncultured bacterium. Its description in RNAcentral is "partial 16S ribosomal RNA". It matches the Rfam family "Bacterial small subunit ribosomal RNA", at positions 524 to 776 of the family's 1533-position model. The record is from RNAcentral.